GUAGGGGGCGAGCGUUGUCCGGAAUUAUUGGGCGUAAAGAGCUCGUAGGCAGCUCGGUAAGUCGGGCGUGAAAUUUACAGGGCUCAACCCUGAAACGCCGUCCGAUACUGCCAUGGCUAGAGUCCGGUAGAGGAGCGUGGAAUUCCCAGUGUAGCGGUGAAAUGCGCAGAUAUUGGGAGGAACACCAACGGCGAAGGCAGCGCUCUGGGCCGGUACUGACGCUGAGGAGCGAAAGCGUGGGGUAGCAAACAGGAUUAGAUACCCUGGUAGUCCACGCCGUAAACGUUGGGCACUAGGUGUGGGACCCUCUUCAACGGGUUCCGUGCCGCAGCUAACGCAUUAAGUGCCCCCGCCCUGGGGAGUACGCCCGCAAGGCUA
This 378-nucleotide ribosomal RNA is filed under the name uncultured organism. Its description in RNAcentral is "partial 16S ribosomal RNA". It matches the Rfam family "Bacterial small subunit ribosomal RNA", at positions 527 to 896 of the family's 1533-position model. The record is from RNAcentral.